This is a long non-coding RNA of Mus musculus (house mouse), 6326 nucleotides long. RefSeq annotates it as predicted gene, 32963. The transcript is spliced from 2 exons. NCBI's taxonomy places the organism in Eukaryota, Metazoa, Chordata, Mammalia, Rodentia, Muridae. The record is from RefSeq and is a predicted model, not a curated record.
GUAGCAGCUGAAGAUGCUGUGUAUGGCAGAGGUUUAAGGACAAACAAAACUCAGGCUGCCUAGCACGGAAGGCAUCAGUACCUCUAUAGAACAGAGUCCCUCCCUGCCUGCCUCCUUAAGAGCUCCCCCAAGAGUCUACAACCUUCACCUGGUCCUGAGAGGCUGGCUCAGGAAACUGCUGAAAAAGCGAUUACAAGCAUCAUCCAUCACAGAAUGGAUUUAAAACUUUUCUCCUAGAAAAAUGAGUCUGAAGCAUACAGUGCUGACUUCCCAUGCCUACAUGGUUUUCUGGCUAGUCUUGCAGACUUGCUUUUCUAGGUGACCCUAAAUUAAUUGCAAGCCAGAACAAGGGAAACAACACAGUUCAUUUAGAAAAAGGCACAAAAGACCAGCUCAGAGCCACUGAGCUCUGUACACUCCUCUCUCUCACUGGCAGACAGUGGGGGAGUGGACACUGGGAAGCCCUAAGCAGCUGUGGUUUUAAGAGAGAGGUAGCUAUGCCCGUGUCCUGAAUCCACAGCCUCUGGUUUUGGAAGGCUUUCUUGAUACCUUGAAAGGAGUGGGCUUACAUACUUGAUUGUGCCCAAUAGAGAGAAGGUGUGGGAAGAUCAUGGGCCGUCUGCAAGUCCUAUCUGCUUCACUCUGCUAAGCAGGAAAGGGAAGGGCACUGUACCACAUUCACAGCCUUGCCCACCUUACUUAUGCCCUAGGAUAGACACAGCAUGGGUGGAAGGACAAAGGGAGGGCAGGAGGGAAGGAAGGACUAUUCCGGGUGCAGAACUGCCCACAUGACAAAGCCUCCUUCUGUUAGUAAUUGUAUUUGUUUUAGAUUACCUGUUAACUAUCGGGAGCAAUUUUAUCUUUAGAGUAACGGCUGCAGUUCUCAUAUUGGAAGGCCCAUAGCUGAUGUCUGCACAUAACACUCGAAGCCAAACCCCAGAGCAGGAAUAGUCAAAGGGAAAGCAGCUAUAUUCCAACGAAGUACUAGGAAGGAGUCAGAGCCAGAGAGAGCUGGCCAGGCCAGCAGGCAGCAUGUUGGGGGUGGAGAUGAGAUUGAGGGAUCAGGAACACUGAGAGAAAGUGGAGGGAGAAGAGCCACAGAAUCUGUCACCAUGAAAGGAGCAUGCCCCCUGCUCCCUGAUCUUCUAAACUCACCCACAGGGAGGACCAGAAACACCUGGGGCUGCGAUAGCUGUUAUCGCAGCCAUCUCCAGCAUUGCCCUGCACGGUUGCAGGGGAGCCCUGGUGUUUCAGCCUGGGUAGAGCAAUUUCACAACCAUGUUCUAACAGUGGCAGAAGGACUGGGGACCACGGGUCAACUUGAACCUCAUGUCUUUUUUGAGAGAUUAAGAACAUCCAUUUCUUUAACUGAAAUGUGAGCUAUGGGUCUCUGGCCAUGGUAGGGAAAGCAAUAAAUCCUGAAUGCUGAGCAGUCAGACUCUCUGGCUGGCUGGGUGCUUCCAACAACCUCUUUACAUUACAUGGGUAAUAUAUACUCAAGGAAUGAAACAGAGAAAACACACACUCACAUGCGCGUGCGCACGCACACACGCGCACACACACACACACACACAUACACACACACACACACACUAAUAAAAUAACACCUCUAUUCAGCAAAAAACAGUUAAAACUUUGUUCUGUUUCCAUUCAAGCUUUUGUGUGUUGGGGCCAUGUGUUUGUAUAUGGUAUGCACAUAUGUGUAUAUGUAUGCUCAUGUGUAGGAGCAUACAUAUAUGUAUAUGACAGAACAUGGGGUGAGAGACAGUUGAUGCCUGGUAUCUUCCUCAAUUCCUUUUCACUUUAGGGAGGCACAGUCCAUCACUGACCCCACACCUUUCCUACUCUUACUGGUCUAGCUAGCUGGCUUGGCCUGUGUCCAUCACCCACGUGCUAGCCCUACAGGUAGCUGCCACGCCUACAGGCUUUGACCUAUGUUCAGAACUCAAACGCUAACACUUCCAUGGUAAGCACUGUUUGUUCUGAGCAACUCCCCCAGCCCCUCCAUUCUGGCCUUUUCAUAUCUCUACAUAUUGAUCACAACUAGUAGGAAUUAUGUUCUGUGCACUUAAAAUAAUGUGAGGACGCGUAGGCAACUGAAUAGACUUUGAAAACAUAGUCUUCAUGGCCGCGGCAUGGGGAAUAGCAUUUUAUAAUCACCCUGCUACUGUUUGUGGUAUUUCAAGUAGUGUGCAAUAUUCAACUAAGCUAAAUAAGGCAGGUGACUAUUUCGUUGUAAAAGUUUUAUUGUGGUCUCAGAUUUCAUGGAAACCCUUAGCGGGUGACUGGAGCAAAGGGCACAAACAUUUACUUUCAGAAGGUUAUACCCGUCAAUCUCUCUCCAGUUGUCUGGAAACACAUUUGUUCCUCGACACGCACACCCUUAUUGACAGCAGAUAUUUAAGUUGCUUUACCCAGUUUCUGGACCUCUCAGAGCCCUACCUUGCUAGGGGAGGCUUUUCAUUUGCAUUUCUAUGAUUACGGGUGAGGUUCAGUGUUUUGUGUUUCUUUGCCUUUCGUAUUUCUUCAGCAGCUGGCUGACUGGAGGCCAUACAGCCCCUCUCCAUUUGAUGUUAAUGUUUCCGUAUUGAUUUAUGACUGCUUUUAGUAUAAUAAGGAUGGAUUGGCAGGUAGAUAGCAUGUGUCCUGAUUUGGCAAUUCUGUGAUGGUGUUUGACACACACGGCACACUAAUGGAUGUGUGGUCAAUUGUAUCACUCUCUCCCUGUAUGAUGCCUUCCACCUCCGGUGCGGCGUCACUGUCCUUCAGCGUGGGAUCAACCGCAGCUCCAGGACUUGCCAUCAGUGUCUCCAUUUCCGAGAUUGAAUAUGGAGGAUAAUGAGAGUACAUUUAAUGUGCAGACAUGGGAGGUGGCAGGCAGUCUCAGAGACACUUCCAAUGGCUCUGUCUUCUGAUAUUCACACAUCAGUUCCAACUGGGGAGAACCAGUUAUCAUGGAGUAAUCUUAGAAGCUGAUCUCUCUGGUGGCAGCUAAAGAUGACACAGAAACACUCAGGAAAGUUGGGCCGGGACUCCUGAUUUGAGGAGGGGGGAGUAUGAAAAACAUGCAAAGAUACAAAUGUAUGAAAGUAUCAUAAUCAAGCCCAUUCUUUAUUUUUGAUUUUUGUCUUCCUUGGCCCACAGAAACUGAAAAAAAAAAGCAAAUAUUUGUUUUUGAUGGCUAUGUCUGAGGCCAUUUGUUAUAUAGUAGGAAAUAACUAAUGUGUUAUACAGAGGUGCCUCCUUAAUGGUUUAAAUGGAUGAUGGCUUAUUUCUCAGUGUGGUUAUUGGAACAUUAAGUGCAUUUUCAAUUUACAGGGGUUUGGGGAUACAACCCCACUGUAAGUCAGGGAAUAUCUAUACAUGAAUGCAUAUGACUGCAGCUAUGGUAGAUUACAGAGGGUUGGGAAGGAAGGCUUAUCGCUCUGUCCAUGAAAAGAAAACAAUGUAAUCCUUCUCCACCUCUGAAACUGGGCUUGACUGUGGGACUUGCUGUGGCCAAGGGAGCAGUAUCAAAGAUGAGGCAGAAGCCAGGAAGCCACCUACACAGGAACUCACUGUCAUAGAACUGUGCCACUACUUCAGGAAGGAACCAAGCCUGCUGGAUAAGACUACAUGACCUGCAAUCCCUUCCAGCUGACCACCUAUCAAUCCUAUGAGGAGGCCCUCGGCAGCAGGCUCAGCAGCUUAUGAAAGGCCUAGAUAAAAGAAACAUGUGUCCAUGACCACACUAAUCUUCCACGCUAAAUGUCCCCGUGAGUGUGUGUCAGGGAAAGCCACAAAGCUCUUGGCUGGUGUGUUACACAGAAUUUAGCAACUGGUGUCACUGUGACUGUUACCGUUCUGAUUAUGGGUGUGGGAACAGUUCAGUGGUUCUGAUUAUGGGUGUGGGAACAGUUCAGUGGCCAAGACUGUCUCUUAGAAGUAUGCUCCAGGUUGCCCUGUUGACCCAUCCACUGGAAAAUCAGUCAGGUAAAUGACAAUAGGUGAGCUUCUAACGUAGUGUUCCAUUUUCUUUUUCCAUAAUCCCCGAGACUUUGUUUCAGGAUGCCGCUUCUACUGAUCACUUCUAUCAAUACAAAAGCAAAUCAUGGUCCGUCACCAUGACAACUGUUUUAAUUUUUUUCCAGAAUAAUGUUAUCUGAUCCUCUUCUUAGAGACAUGCUCACAAUUACCUGUGGGAGCAAUGAGGCUUCCAAUGAAGGGCUUCAAAGAAGGAUGCUGGUAACAUCGCUAGCUAGAUGGACAAACGGACAGUCAAUGGAGAUGACUCCAUGGCAGUUGCUUGCCUACAAUCAACCAAACCUCUAAGUCACUUGGCAGCCAACUUCCCCAAGGUCAUUCCGAGUGCAGCCCCAAGUGGGGAUGGCGGGCACGUGUGAAGGCAUGGUACCACGCUCUACAGCUUCUGUGAGAAAGAGCAUCAUAGGAAAAAAAAAAACCCUCAAAAGCACCACUUAAAGCUCAACAUGAACCAAAUGACUAAGACCCAAGCAACAGACAGCAUGGAAGAAGUUACAGUCACUGCAGGCCAAUUGCAGAAGGAUCUUUUGGGGGGAGGGGCAGUGUCCAGAUUCUGAAGAAUAAGCGUCAGCACAGAGCAGAUGGGUUCAGGAGCAGGAAGCAGGACCAAGUUCUGUGGGGUUAUCAGUUUUUGAAUAGAAGUUUUGUCUUUGUAAAGAAAGGAACUGUCUAAGUUAGGGUUUUACUCCUGUGAGCAGACACCAUGACCAAGGCAACUCUUACAAGGACAACAUUUAAUUGGGGCUGGCUUACAGGUUCAGAGGUUCAGUCCAUUAUCAUCAAGGCGGGAGUAUGGCAGCAUCCAGGCAGGCAGGCAUGGUGCAGGAAGAGCUGAGAGUUCUACAUCUUCAUCUGAAGGCUGCUAGCAGAAUACUUACUGCCAGACAGCUAGGACUAGGGUAUUAAAGGCCACACCCACAGUGACAUACAUACUCCAAGUAGGCCACACCUUCUAAUAGUGCCACUCCCUGGCCCAAGCAUGUAGAAACCAUCACAGGAACUCACCCUUUUGUUGAAGUCCUCAGCAUACCACUGACGUUGCCAUAGUGACUGAGACAGGUCUUUUACUCAGUCUACCAACCCAGAUGCUCACUUUUUUCAGGCAGCACCACCACAGGUACUUCUGCAUACAGUCUUUCCAGCCAGAACAGCAUCCCUUAGCUGGAGCCAGUCACUACCUUACAUUAGCUAUUAUAGAACCUUAGAUUCCACAGGAAAGGGCCAAUCCUACGCAUACCUAAGCCCUGAUCCAAUUCCUUUAACUCUUCUACCAGAUUUGAAGCUUCUAAUCCAUUUCAGAAGUGUUAUGCCAGCUCCUAGGACUCCUUCCCCAUCCAACUUCUCCCAGCUCAGUGUCAAACAAUCAUAGUUAUGAGUACACUCUUACAAAAAUGGUGAAGCAAAAUAAAGAUCCCUGCUCUGCUUAAUGCAGUCCUCUUCUUGUUCAUGCUCUUGUUCAGAGGAGGGCAUCACUGACUCUUCAGGAAAGCACCCUUUUAUUUGGUGCAGUAGUAGCUUGGCUGGGUUUGAUUUUUGAUAGUUUUUGUCGUUAUGUUGGUCUUCUCCAAGGUGAUGAGAUGCAGCUGGAUGCACAGCUUGUUCAGAGCUGGCAAGUGCUGAAUUCAUGAGCAUCCACCUUCUGUUCUCACACUAUCUCAGGUACAGAGCUAUAAUGACUACAGUUUCCAGUGUGACCUGGCUGGCUGCAAGGGAUAUGUGCUGAUUCCGUCCCAGUCUACUCAGUAGAACACUAUAAAUGCCACCACAGCCAGCCAAAGCACAUCACUAAGCCUUCUAGUCCCAGUCCCAGACCCUCUGGUCAACCCAGCCUUCUCCUAAGAACAUAGUCUCAUAACAGAGCAAGAAAUGGUGGGAAGGAAUAAGAAUCUGGCCGUAGGCAGUAGUGGUGUGUUGUGUCACAAAAGGUCUAGUAUGACAUGGUGAUGGUGGUGGUGAAACAACAGAAUGUCAUCUUGCCUUGGGGACAGAUGCUUUCCCCUAGGAGCUGAAGUGAACUGGAGAUAAAAAUCGGCUUCCUCAAGAGGACGUCUGAUGGCCGAGUAAGUCCUGUGCUUGGAGCCACCAGGAGACCCACCAUCUCAAUGACAAUGCAGCCUCCUCUUGGGCAUGACCCCUGCUGGCCCAAGUGUACGUGAGCUAGGCCUGCAAGGUGGUGCCACUUACACAGAACAACAGACAUUCCAACCAUAAGAAUCCUUCACAUUAUCACAUAGCUCUAAAAUGUGUGGCUUCUGGCCCCAUUGAAGCAAGUGUUUUUCAGUAUAAUGAAGAAAUUCUGGCUA